Molecule: ribosomal RNA, 865 nt
Filed under: uncultured archaeon
Lineage: Archaea
Description: bacterial SSU rRNA
Rfam family: Archaeal small subunit ribosomal RNA
Source: RNAcentral
ACUAAGCCAUGCGAGUCAUUGUAGCAAUACAAGGCAGACGGCUCAGUAACGCGUGGUCAAUCUACCCUGUUGACGGGGAUAACCUCGGGAAACUGAGAAUAAUACCCGAUAGAACAUUAUGCCUGGAAUGGUUUAUGUUUCAAAUGAUUUAUCGCAAUAGGAUGGGACUGCGGCCUAUCAGUUUGUUGGUGAGGUAAUGGCCCACCAAGACUAUUACAGGUACGGGCUCUGAGAGGAGUGGCCCGGAGAUGGGUACUGAGACACGGACCCAGGCCCUAUGGGGCGCAGCAGGCGAGAAAACUUUGCAAUGUGCGAAAGCACGACAAGGUUAAUCCGAGUGGUUUCUGCUAAAGAAACCUUUUGUCAGUCCUAGAAACACUGAUGAAUAAGGGGUAGGCAAGUUCUGGUGUCAGCCGCCGCGGUAAAACCAGCACCUCAAGUGGUCAGGAUGAUUAUUGGGCCUAAAGCAUCCGUAGCUUGUUUUGUAAGUUUUCGGUUAAAUCCAUACGCUUAACGUAUGGGCUGCCGGGAAUACUGCAUAACUAGGAAGUGGGAGAGGUAGACGGUACUCGGUAGGAAGGGGUAAAAUCCUUUGAUCUAUUGAUGACCACCUGUGGCGAAGGCGGUCUACCAGAACACGUUCGACGGUGAGGGAUGAAAGCUGGGGGAGCAAACCGGAUUAGAUACCCGGGUAGUCCCAGCUGUAAACUAUGCAAACUCAGUGAUGCAUUGGCUUGUGGCUAAUGCAGUGCUGCAGGGAAGCCGUUAAGUUUGCCGCCUGGGAAGUACGUACGCAAGUAUGAAACUUAAAGGAAUUGGCGGGGGAGCACCACAAGGGUGAAGCCUGCGGUUCAAUUGGAGUCAA